This 27-nucleotide non-coding RNA is filed under the name Mus musculus (house mouse). Lineage: Eukaryota; Metazoa; Chordata; Mammalia; Rodentia; Muridae. The record is from RNAcentral.
UAGAACGCUGAUCUUCCUGUCUCCACC